Molecule: ribosomal RNA, 219 nt
Filed under: uncultured bacterium
Lineage: Bacteria
Description: partial 16S ribosomal RNA
Rfam family: Bacterial small subunit ribosomal RNA
Source: RNAcentral
CGUGAGGAACCUGCCUUGGAGAGGGGAAUAACACUCCGAAAGGAGUGCUAAUACCGCAUGAUGCAGUUGGGUCGCAUGGCUCUGACUGCCAAAGAUUUAUCGCUCUGAGAUGGCCUCGCGUCUGAUUAGCUUGUAGGCGGGGUAACGGCCCACCUAGGCGACGAUCAGUAGCCGGACUGAGAGGUUGACCGGCCACAUUGGGACUGAGACACGGCCCAG